This 375-nucleotide long non-coding RNA is filed under the name Pan troglodytes (chimpanzee). RNAcentral's name for it is "long non-coding RNA NONPTRT016070". The record is from RNAcentral. Lineage: Eukaryota; Metazoa; Chordata; Mammalia; Primates; Hominidae.
AGCCCAGGAGAGGACUCGGGCCAACUGAGUGAGAAUCUACAAGGACCACAGGACCCAACUCCAGGCCGGGCCAUGGAAGCAACAACAACCAGACAGCACACAAAACUGCAAGAGCAAUAGGGGACUCAGGACCCUAAUGUCCACAGCGUUGGUAAGGAGAAGAACACAUUCGAGGAAGCAAAGCAGGGGCCCAAUAAGCGAUUAUGCCCAUCCACUUGAGCUUGUAUUAACAUAACUACUCUCCUCAUGACUACCACUCAAAGAAUAUACAAAGGACCUCUCAUUUUCCCAGAAAUAACCUCUCUAUAUGAACAGGCACAGCCAUUGUGGAAUGGCCUUGGGAUGGCCUGUGGAGCGAGAUAGAGAAGGAGUGUG